Molecule: unclassified non-coding RNA, 331 nt
Filed under: soil metagenome
Description: partial contains 5.8S ribosomal RNA, internal transcribed spacer 2, and large subunit ribosomal RNA
Rfam family: 5.8S ribosomal RNA (bases 1-120)
Source: RNAcentral
GAUGAAGAACGUAGCGAAAUGCGAUAAGUAAUGUGAAUUGCAGAAUUCAGUGAAUCAUCGAAUCUUUGAACGCACAUUGCGCCCCCUGGUAUUCCGGGGGGCAUGCUUGUUCGAGCGUCAUUUCACCACUCAAGCCUCGCUUGGUAUUGGGCAACGCGGUCCGCCGCGUGCCUCAAAUCGUCCGGCUGGGUCUUCUGUCCCCUAAGCGUUGUGGAAACUAUUCGCUAAAGGGUGUUCGGGAGGCUACGCCGUAAAACAACCCCAUUUCUAAGGUUGACCUCGGAUCAGGUAGGGAUACCCGCUGAACUUAAGCAUAUCAAUAAGCGGAGGA